This 1489-nucleotide ribosomal RNA is filed under the name uncultured Bordetella sp. RNAcentral describes it as "partial 16S-23S ribosomal RNA intergenic spacer". It matches the Rfam family "Bacterial small subunit ribosomal RNA". Lineage: Bacteria; Pseudomonadati; Pseudomonadota; Betaproteobacteria; Burkholderiales; Alcaligenaceae. The record is from RNAcentral.
GGUUCGAUUCUGGCUCAGAUUGAACGCUGGCGGGAUGCUUUACACAUGCAAGUCGAACGGCAGCACGGACUUCGGUCUGGUGGCGAAAAGUGGCGAACGGGUGAGUAAUGUAUCGGAACGUUGCCCUGAAAUGGCGGGGGAUAACUACGCGAAAGCGUAGCUAAUACGCCCUUCAGGGGGAAAGCGGGGACCUUCGGGCCUCGCACUAUUAGGAAACGGCCGAUAUCGGAUUAGCUAGUUGGUGGGGUAACGGCUCGCAAGGCGACGAUCCGUAGCUGGUUUGAGAGGACGACCAGCCACACUGGGACUGAGACCUGGCCCAGACUCCUACGGGGAGGCAGCGGUGGGGAAUUUUUGGACAAUGGGGAAACCCUGAUCCAGCCAUCCGCGUGUGCGAUGAAGGCCUUCGGGUUGUAAAGCACUUUUGGCAGGAAAAACGGCACGGGAUAAUACCCCGUGCAACUGACGGUACCUGCAGAAUAAGCACCGGCUAACUGCACAUUGCCAGCAGCCGCGGUAAUACGUAGGGUGCAAGCGUUAAUCAGAUACUGGGCGUAAAGCUGCGCAGAGCGGUUCGGGAAAGAAAGAUGUGAGAAAUCCCAGAGCUUAACUUUGGAACUGCAUUUUUAACUACCGAGUUAGAGUGUGUCAGAGGGAGGUGGAAUUCCGCGUGUAGCAGUGAAAUGCGUAGAUAUGCGGAGGAACACCGAUGGCGAAGCAGCCUCCUGGGAUAACACCAUGGCCGCUCAUGCACAGCGUGGGGAGCAAAGCAGUUAGAUACCCUGGUAGUCCACGCCCUAAACGAUGUCAACUAGCUGUUGGGGCCUUCGGGCCUUGGUGACGCAACUAGCACGUGAAGUUGACCGCCUGGGGAAAUUACGGUGCAGAUUAAAACUCAAAGGAAUUGACGGGGACCAUACACAAGCGUUGGAUGAUGUGGAUUAAUUCGAUGCAACACGAAAAACCUUUUCACCAUGGCACUCUGGAAUCCCGAAGAGAUUUGGGAGUGCUCGCAAAGAAGAACAAGACUGGUGCUGCAUGGCUGUCGUCAGCUCGUGUCGUGAGAUGUUGGGUUGAAGACCCGCAACGAGCGCAACCCUUGUCAUUAAAGUUGCUACGAAAGGGCACUCUAAUGAGACUGCCGGUGACAAACCAGGGAGGGAAGGUGGGGAUGACGUCAAGUCCUCAUGGCCCUUAUGGGUAGGGCUUCAAAUCAUACAAUGGUGGGACAGAGGGUCCCAACAACCCGCGAGAGGGAGCCAAUCCCAGAAACCCGAUCGUGAUCCGGAUCGCGAUCCCAAACUCGACUGCGUGAAGUCGGAGUCGCUGGUAAUCGCGGAUCAGCGUAAUAGCAGUGAAUACGUUCCCGGGUCCUGUACACACCGCCGAAAUCACACCAUGGGAGUGGGUUUACAGAAGUAGUUAGCCUAACCGUAAGGAGGGCGAUACCGGUAGGAUUCGAUAUGAAGGUGAAGUCGUAACAAGGUAG